Molecule: long non-coding RNA, 1339 nt
Filed under: Triticum aestivum (bread wheat)
Lineage: Eukaryota; Viridiplantae; Streptophyta; Magnoliopsida; Poales; Poaceae
Description: long non-coding RNA (TAES_LNC008380)
Source: RNAcentral
GUAAUCAAUGUGCAGACUAAUAAUUCUCACACAACUGUAAACUAAGAUUGGUUCUUUCCAUCUCCACCUCAGCGACAAGCACCGUAACAAUAAGCAUAUUUAUGCAACAAUAAAAAUCAGCAAGCAGUUGUUGUCUUGCCGCCCUUCUCGUCAGGGUGUGUGAGGGGGCUUGUAAUGUGUCCCAUGGCACGAGCAUCAAGCAUGGCCCCGAGCCAUCAUGUAGUAAACCAGCAAAGUUCCCCAUCACUUGACACCAUAUGAUUUCUAUUACCAUGUGGACAAAUAUUUACCUGAUAAGCACUUAAAGAAAGAAAAACAGUCCUUCAUUCCUAGGAGCCGAUAAGUAGAUCAUCAUAUCCUUCUUUUUCCAUAUGCACGCCCUCUUAUUGUAGAGAUGGUGUGGGUAACAAAGAAGUUUUGCCUAUCGGUGCCGUCCAUUGCGAGGAACCUCCAGCAACAGUGAUUCUUGAUCAGAAUCCUUCCCUGGAGGGGUCAUUGAGGAUGAUAAUUCAUAUGGGGGUAAUAUGAACAGGUUAAGUGAUACUGCUCCUCCUUGAGUGGGAUUACCAGGUUAUGCCAGAAAUGAUUUUUUUUUUCUGAACUGAGAGGAAGCUUGUUUAGGUCUCCUCUCGAUUCUGCAUCUUCAUGAACAAAACAAAAUUACAAGAAAUCUCCAUGUUACAUGAAAUAAGCCAAAGAAAGUAACUGCAAAAAUCUAGAAAAAUGUAUGUGUAGUGCAGAACCAGAGGAAUCAACCAAGCCAGCUGACUUGUGAAGCUUUGAGAGACUUCAUGGGUGGACCUGGGUAAGCCCUUUGGGAGGGGGAUCGGUGGGGGGGUGGGGGGGCUUUGAUCGAUGGGACUAAUGAAACAAGUGAAACGACCUAGGUACUCCCCUUUAAUAUUAGAGAUUUUACACACAAAUCAAGCAAUUGAUGUUUCUGCAACUGAAUGCCCUUUAUUCCUUGUACUCCUAGCUCAAGCAGUCCAAGAAACAUUGUUCUAAAUAUAUAUAUUGGUUAUCAUGUAAGUCAAGUAUGUGAUAUCACCAGAAACAUAAACUGGCUACUUCAGUUUUUAGGAGUCAUUUAUCACCUGUAUUAUGUUCAAAUUACUUGUGUCCUAGUGUGCUAGUGAAAAAAUAUGUUACAGUUGACGAAAGUGCAAAAAAUGGCAUUCGGGCUUACAAACCUACAUUGAGCCAAUCCUCUGCUCAGUCGUCCAUUGCCGAUGAUGGUUGUCUUGUCACCAUGCUACCCUUCCCUGCUGACCACGUGAUAUGACAUUGGUUGUUGCACGCUGGAUUUAAGUACUUCAAAAUAUGGAGGCACCUUCAGUCC